RNAcentral lists this ribosomal RNA (253 nucleotides) under uncultured bacterium. RNAcentral's name for it is "partial 16S ribosomal RNA". It matches the Rfam family "Bacterial small subunit ribosomal RNA", at positions 524 to 776 of the family's 1533-position model. The record is from RNAcentral.
GACGGAGGGUGCAAGCGUUGCUCGGAAUCACUGGGCGUAAAGGGUGCGCAGGCGGCCGAGUGUGUGAGGCGUGAAAGCCCGGGGCUUAACCCCGGAAUUGCACCUCAAACUACACGGCUAGAGCAUUGGAGAGGGUAGCAGAAUUCAUGGUGUAGCAGUGAAAUGCGUAGAUAUCAUGAGGAAUACCAGAGGCGAAGGCGGCUACCUGGACAAUUGCUGACGCUCAGGCACGAAAGCGUGGGGAGCAAAAGGG